This 459-nucleotide ribosomal RNA is filed under the name uncultured bacterium. Its description in RNAcentral is "partial 16S ribosomal RNA". It matches the Rfam family "Bacterial small subunit ribosomal RNA", at positions 338 to 795 of the family's 1533-position model. The record is from RNAcentral.
CCUACGGGUGGCAGCAGUGAGGAAUAUUGGUCAAUGGACGGAACUCUGAACCAGCCAUGCCGCGUGCAGGAAGACGGCUCUCUGAGCUGUAAACUGUGUUUGUACAAGGGUAAACCUGAAUACGUGUAUUCAGCUGAAAGUAUUGUACGAAUAAGGAUCGGCUGACUCUGUGCCAGCAGCCGCGGUAUACGGAGGAUCCAAGCGUUAUCCGGAUUUAUUGGGUUUAAAGGGUGCGUAGGCGGAGUGAUAAGUUAGAGGUGAAAUGUCCGAGCUUAACUCGGGAACUGCCUCUAAUACUGUUGAUCUAGAGAGUAGGUGCGGUAGGCGGAAUGUAUGGUGUAGCGGUGAAAUGCGUAGAGAUCAGACAGAACACCGAUUGCGAAGGCAGCUUACCAAUCUAUAUCUGACGUUGAGGCACGAAAGCGUGGGGAGCAAACAGGAUUAGAUACCCGUGUAGUC